GGGUAAAAUUUUGAAUGGUACCACAUGGAUAAAACCAGCUAGAGGUCAGAUUCUAUAUACCUGACAAACAAGUCGAAAGCAAGAAAAGCGAACAUCCUUAAACUCAACAUUUCACAAUAAGUUUAGCUUUAUUUUGUUUGAUAUUUUGAAUUUUUAUGUUAAUUAUUUAUGAAGGAGCUACACACUAAACAAACAUGACAAGAUCGAUAUCUAAUAUAAAACCAUUGACGGGUAUCGAAAUACCUAUAAAGUAUGCAUAGUAGUAUCAUGUGCACUUUGAAUAGAAUAGAAAAAUCAUGAAAAACAAAUUGUGGGAUUUAAACUUAUAUAUAUAUAAACAAAAACAUUGAUUGUGUAUAUUAAAAGUGAAUUUUAAAUAGAUUUAUGCAAAAAUAUAAGUGAAUAUAUAACAUGACAGAACGUGUUCAAUAUAGAAGUGUAUCACAAGAAGAUACUGAUGACGAACUUCUAGAUGACCAUGAAGUUACGAACGAAAAUGCAGUAACAAUAUUAGGCGACGAUGAGACAGGGACUGUUUCAGGGAGUAAUGUCCGUUUGACUGAAGCUAAUUCGUCAUUUACCAAUAAGAGUAUCCAUGAAUGUAUUUGUGAAUCAAAGAACAGGAAGAAAAUUACGAUAGGAAUUAUUCUAAUAUUUACUUUCGUUAUUGUUCUCGUUUUAUUGGGUGUUGGAUUACAUAAUAUAAAUCUUAAGCAUACUGUUCAUGAUCCUGAUAAACAUUCAAAGACUAAUGUUUCUAGCAAUGGAUGAAGAAGUUUCAAUCUUAUAUUUUGAAAAGUAGCAGUAACUUACAGAAACUGAAAACAGCAAUCCUGAUUUGUUAGAAUGUAUUGGUGAUGUGUAUGGAAAGAAAUAUCUUGAAAAUAUAUACAUUUACUUUGCCUUGUACCAGAGACAACAACUGCAGAUAUGUUUUGUCAUUGUAGAAAUCCAGAGUUGAACUAAACAACAUUGUAUUAAAGUGAAUAAAUUAUUUGAAUUUCA
Molecule: long non-coding RNA, 1005 nt
Organism: Mytilus californianus (California mussel)
Lineage: Eukaryota; Metazoa; Mollusca; Bivalvia; Mytilida; Mytilidae
Exons: 2
Source: RefSeq, a predicted model, not a curated record